This 2347-nucleotide long non-coding RNA is filed under the name Bemisia tabaci. RNAcentral's name for it is "lncRNA ENSASIAIIG009596". The record is from RNAcentral. Lineage: Eukaryota; Metazoa; Arthropoda; Insecta; Hemiptera; Aleyrodidae.
AUGAUAUAUGCUCUCUGGUUUUUUUCUAGAAUAUGUGAGUGCCUUAUCAAUUCAAUUUUUCUUUGUAAAAAACCGGUAAGCAUUUUCAGUCCUUUGGCUGUAACACAUAUGGGCCUUGUUCGGCCAAGGAAAUCAUGCGACUUUUUCCAACAAAUAGAGUGCUUAUUACAGAACUUUUACGCUCAAGUCCUUGAAGAAAGUAAUGAGAAAUCACUAACGCUAUCAAGUGAUGUACAAAAACUAUUGAGAUGGGGCAUUCACUAAAAUAUGGACAAACUUCAUUGAAAACUCUCAGUCCCUCUUGUAACAAGGAAACUGACUGUUAGUCAAAGUCCAAAGUAUUUUCAUCAGCAGGAAUACUCAGCUUCUAAAUUAGUUAGUCCGUGAAGAUAAUUUCACUGGAAACCCCAUAUUUUCCAGAGACAAAAAUUUGGUUUCUUUUCAACUGCCGGUCUAUGUUUGUGCAUGUAUGUAGGUAAAUAGGGUUAUACAGUUACACUAUUGUCACUGCAAUGAGAAUUUAACUAUUCUCUCUUUCUCAAAAAAAGUGUAUGUAAUUAAUCUACUGUAAUACAGAAUGUGCAAAUAAAUUCUGGCUAUCAUAUUGACUUCAAAAAUUCUUUGUUUGUUCAAUUCAGAAUAUUUUGUUGGGUGAGUGAAGGGACUCUCAUUUUGAUAUUGAAACUCCCAUAAACCAUGUAUAUCCGUUUGCGACGUUGCAGAUUUCCUGUCAUGCUUUAUUUUGUAGUUGGAGAACCACUCAACGUCAGUUAUUAAUAACUUCCGUGUUUUUUCUUUUCUGUGAGAGGCGAAUUCUGAAAAAACUUUAGGGAAUGAUGUUGAUUUGUUCUCUUGUGAAGAAAUAAAAUAGGAGCGGAGAUUUUUAAACACUGUGAACGAGAUGUGAGGUUUCUUAGAUUUACCGUCAAUAUCAUCCUUGUAAAGUAUACUGAAUCAGAAUGUAGGAGAUGUCCUCUUGGGUCCACAGAAACUUUUAACACAUUAUUUUGACAGCACGGUAUUGUUCAAAAGUGAAAUUGUGCGACUGGUGGAUCUCACCAUCUGUGUAAAAGCAAUAGAUAAAAAGAGGUAAACUGCAUGCACAGUGCAAAACUAAAAAAAAAAAGUUAAGUUUUGGCCAGAUCGAGCUUUGCUCUGUACUAAUCGAAGGAAUUAUCUGCUCUCCCUACCAAAUUAGUUUUGCCAAUUCAAGCAAAUUUUCUGUCGGAGCAGUUUGAAUUCAUGCAAAAAUGGCAUCUUAUUUUUUAAACCUCGAAUUUUAUCCUGAAAAGUUAGAGAUAUUUUCUAAGUUAAUCAACAGUGAUGUAUCUAAAGUGUAUACUGUAUGCCUUACACGUUUAAAAUUGAUGUAUCUAUAAGCUCGCAAAGAUUUAAAAAUCAUGUAAGAUGCAAAGUCAAAACUUAUUGUUCUCCUUAUCCGAUGAUCAUCUUGACCUUUGACUUGUCAAAAGAGAAUAUAUUGGGAAGGACUUUUCUCAAGAGAGGCUUCUAGAAAACUUAUUAGGGUGAGGUGCGGGGGAUGAAGGAGAGGGUACGUUGAAAUUAAAAGACUUGGAAGUUAGUAAGUUUGACUCACAAUUUCUGAACAUCCAUAAGAUUGCAAAUCUUAGCAACACCCUUACGUUGCAAGGCCAUCUCCAUGUCCCCUCAAAGGCUAGUACCUACUUUCUGAAAGAAAAAUGAAGAUCUCUUUACGAAUUCGUAGGUAUUUUUUAUUUUUGCAAGGAAAGAGCAAGAAUAAUCACAAAAUUAACAACAAUCUGCCAAUAAGUUUCACUGGAUAUUAUGCACUUGACAGUAGUACAUCUAGUUCUAAGUUCUUGACUUAAACUGAACAAGUUCAUAAUGCUGCAAUAUCUAACUGUGUGUCCUGGAGUGAAUGUCUUAUCCCAUAUAUAAAGUAAAGGUCGGUUUUGACGGUUUCCACGAAAUGGGGGUCAAACCGUCUGUCCGAUCUUCCCUAAAAUAUUUAUACCAGUCCUUCCCAGUUCGGUGAGUGACACUGGCUAUUUCAAUUUUCUCCCUGUCGUGAUUUCGGGAUUUUAUGGUCAAAAAAUGGUAAAGUUGGGGAGAGGAACGGGCCCACGGUUGCUAAGCAUCCGUUGCCAGGCACCUUUGUUAGCGAAGUAUAUCGCCAUACAUGCGAUAAUCGACCUAUGUACCUAUUUAAGGAACCUAUGUACUUGGCAGUAUAGUAUAUCUAGUUCUAAGUUCUUGACUAAAACUGAACAAGUUCAUAAUGCUGCAAUAUCUAACUGUGUGCCCCAGAGUAAAUGUCUUAUUACAUAUUAAAAUAUGUUUAUAAUGAAGUAAUUUCAAUCCCACC